Dermacentor andersoni is the source of this 890-nucleotide long non-coding RNA. RefSeq lists it as uncharacterized. The record is from RefSeq and is a predicted model, not a curated record. NCBI's taxonomy places the organism in Eukaryota, Metazoa, Arthropoda, Arachnida, Ixodida, Ixodidae.
AGUUAGGCAGACGAGGCGAUCGGUACAGUGAUAGCGGCGCUUAUUUUGAUUUGGUUCUAGCAUAUAAUGGCCCGUCCAGUAGUAGAACCAACGACAUACUAUGGCGAUGCCCUGCAGAAACGACUUCCAUGGCGGCAACAAACAAAGAAACCUUCGCAAAAUGUAGAAGUCAGCAUUAGUUAGCUCAGAUUAAAGAAGAGAGAAAACAAGAGACAUGUCUACUGGAGGCGUCAACGAUCGUGAGAGUGCGAGUCGAAUCUAGCCCAGGAGGGAACCGCAACCGAGUUGACACGAGCAGGCAGACAGCCUUCGCGCUAACCGCCAAAAGGUUCACGCUGGCAUACAAGAAAUCACGUGCAGUGCUUGCGACAAGGUAUAAAAGUGGCCGUGAUUUCAGGAGCGGGGGCCAUACUCUGCCACCACGUGCCAGCGAUUCUCCUAGUCAACAUGAAGGUACUGAUCGUUGCGUGCACCAUUGUCCAAUUCGUUAGCUUGGUUCUCGCUGGAGGCUAUCAUGACUACGGCUACGACGACCACGGCUACUACAGUGGUCAUGACCACUACAGUUAUUAUAAGGAGAUACCCGGACCUUCUUUCCUUAUCAAAACCGUUCAUCACGUGAGCAAGCUACACCAUGGAGAACAUUUGCACGGAAAUGCCUGGUGAUAUUUCGUACCUGCGGGAAAGGUAUGACCAGGUUGCGCAUUCACAUCAUCCCUCGCCUCAACGGAAACCAAAGAAACCGAGAAAGUGAGCUCGAAGUUGGGAAAGGACGCAUGGAAGCUUUCAUCUCUUGGGUGACCUUGCAAGCGAGGCGCAUUCAUACAGCUCAACCUGUGGACUGUCGAUGCUAUAUCACGAAAUUGAAGGACAGUGCACGUAAACGUCGU